RNAcentral lists this ribosomal RNA (761 nucleotides) under uncultured bacterium. RNAcentral's name for it is "bacterial SSU rRNA". It matches the Rfam family "Bacterial small subunit ribosomal RNA", at positions 28 to 776 of the family's 1533-position model. The record is from RNAcentral.
GAUGAACGCUAGCGACAGGCUUAACACAUGCAAGUCGAGGGGCAGCAUUGUAAUUAGCUUGCUAAUUACAGAUGGCGACCGGCGCACGGGUGAGUAACGCGUAUGGAACCUGCCCUUUACAGGGGGAUAGCCCAUGGAAACGUGGAUUAAAAUCCCAUAAUACUUUGUUCAGGCAUCUGGAUGGAGUUAAAUCUACGGAGGUAAAGGAUGGCCAUGCGUCCUAUUAGCUGGUUGGCGGGGUAACGGCCCACCAAGGCGAUGAUAGGUAGGGGUUCUGAGAGGAAGGUCCCCCACAUUGGAACUGAGACACGGUCCAAACUCCUACGGGAGGCAGCAGUGAGGAAUAUUGGUCAAUGGACGAAAGUCUGAACCAGCCAAGUAGCGUGCAGGAUGACGGCCCUCUGGGUUGUAAACUGCUUUUAGUUGGGAAUAAAAAGAGGGACGUGUCCCUUAUUGUAUGUACCAUCAGAAAAAGGACCGGCUAAUUCCGUGCCAGCAGCCGCGGUAAUACGGAAGGUCCAGGCGUUAUCCGGAUUUAUUGGGUUUAAAGGGAGCGCAGGCGGCGGCGUAAGUCAGUUGUGAAAUCGUGCGGCUUAACCGUGCAAUUGCAGUUGAUACUGCGUCGCUUGAGUGCACACAGGGAUGUUGGAAUUCAUGGUGUAGCGGUGAAAUGCUUAGAUAUCAUGAAGAACUCCGAUCGCGAAGGCAUAUGUCCGGAGUGCAACUGACGCUGAGGCUCGAAAGUGUGGGUAUCAAACAGG